GAAAAGACCGUCAGAGCCCAGAGGGGCCGUGGGCAGUCGCUCCCCCGUUCUUCUCUCUCAUCGGAAGGGCUUCUCGAAAGUGACUAUCAUGGACUAAUAGAUCGCAUUCUUAGGUUCUGCACUUUGGAGUUCUGAAGUGAUGGAAAGAGUCGGAGGAGUUGGGUUGCAAGUGGUGAAAAAUGGCAACUUUGGAGAAGGCGAGUCUCCAAGAUAUUCGGUCCCUUUGACCAGAACUGGAUCUCGAAAUACAAGCCCGUCUCGGCAGAAGGUGAUCAAGACUAAGCCUAGGGGUUUUGAUGAGGAGACUGUUGCAACAUUUGGUAAAGUCGUUCAUGCUGAUAUCCAAAUGGAAGAUAACAUAUGGGCACUAUUGCCCGAGGACUUGCUAAUCGAGGUUCUUGCUAGGGUGCCUCCAUUCUUGAUCUUUAGGAUGAGGUCAGUUUGCAGGCGAUGGAAUUCAAUUCUUCAAGAUAGUAGCUUUCUCACAUCUCACUCGAAGGUUCCUUCACAUGGGCCUUGCCUUCUCACAUUCUGGAAGAACUCGCAAACCCAUCAGUGUUCUGUAUUCAGCCUACCAUUGAAGACUUGGUAUAAGGUCCCAUUUGGUUUUUUACCAGAUUGGGCGUUCUGGUUGGUUGGUUCUUCAGGUGGUCUUGUUUGUUUUUGUGGAUACGAUGGGCUUUGUUUCAAAAUCCUUGUUUGCAAUCCCCUAACUCAGACAUGGAGGACAUUGCCAAACAUGCAUUACAAUCAGCAAAGGCAGUUGAUCUUGGUUGUUGAUAGGGCAGAUCGUUCAUUCAAGGUGAUUGCGGCAAGUGAUAUUUAUGGAGACAGAACACUGCCUACAGAAGUUUAUGACUCAAACCUUGACCGUUGGUCUGUUCAUCAGACAAUGCCAGCCGUUAAUCUAUGUUCAUCAAAGAUGGCAUUUUGUGACUCAAGACUGUAUCUUGAGACUCUUUCGCCACUUGGCUUGAUGAUGUAUCGAGUAGAUACAGGGCAUUGGGAACAUAUUCCAGCCAAGUUUCCACGAUCAUUGCUGGAUGGCUAUUUGGUUGCAGGUGCGCAAAAGCGUUUGUUUUUGGUUGGAAGGAUAGGACUUUACAGCACUCUCCAGAGCAUCCGGAUCUGGGAGUUGGAUCAUGCUAAGACUGCGUGGGUGGAAAUAAGUAGGAUGCCACCAAAGUAUUUUAGAGUUCUAUUGAGAUUAUCAGCUGAAAGAUUUGAGUGUUUUGGGCAGGAUAACCUCAUAUGCUUUACAUCCUGGAACCAAGGGAAAGGUCUUCUAUAUGAUGUGGAUAAGAAAACUUGGUCAUGGAUUGCUGGCUGUGCCAUCCAGUUGUGUAACAGUCAGGUUUGCUUUUAUGAGCCAAGAUUUGAUGUGCCCAUCUAUUGAGAGGUGGGCCUUCGUUGGCACUGGGUGGAAGAAGGUUGACAAAGGGUGUUAUUUGGAGACAAUGACAUUAUUAUUUCUUAUGCCAUAAUUAGGGACACUGAUCAUUUACUGCUGAGAUAAUAACUAAGAGCAACUUGUCCACAUAAGUGGAGAAUGUCUAGAAAAGCAGUACUACAUGCAAGAUAUGAUCAUCCAAACAUCGAGGUAUACAGGAAGUAAAUCAACCUAACAGGAUGUGCUCGGAGCUGCUGCGGGAGUGUUCUAACCUCAUGGAGCUCCAUGCAAUUCUGCUUGAGACAGGUCCAGAAAUGGGUUGUAAACUAUUUUUGCUGCAAUUCCUUCGAAAACUUUCCUGCUCAAUUUUAUUUCACCAGCCUGGAUGGCAAAGAAACAUUCUACUGUUUUUGGUAUUGUUUUUCUCCUGGGUACCAAGACGAGUGGCUGAACAGAUGCUUGUAAUUUGAUGAAGGUGGGGGCACUAUGGCUUUGCUGAAGCAAUCAGCACUUCCAUCAGUUGACAUUUUGGCAGAACAUCAUCCCACCGUGCAAAUUCUGCACCGCAGAGGAUCUGCGCCUGUUGCGUGCAUUAUGGUGGUCUCCCAAGAGAUGGUGUGGAAGGCGAUUGGAGGCUUAAACAAUAUAGAAUUAUGAUCACAUACAUGCCACACGGUUCUCUUGAGAUAGCAUGCAAAGAAUUUAUAGAAAUCUUUAGAUUUUCCAGGUACUCUUGGACACUGAGAUAGGUAUUUUCGCAAUUUAAAAAUAUUGCAUUUAUGUCUACAUCUAUAUCAAAUCAUUUUGACUAUAAUAUUAAGUAUGAAUGUUGAUCCUUCUUAAGUGUUCUUUUGCUAUUGGAUUCGGAUUUGACCAAGUUUGAACUCAUUUUAUUAAUGACUUAGUUCUUUCUUCUUAAACACCGUGUUAUCUCAAUAUCAUU
Phoenix dactylifera (date palm) is the source of this 2333-nucleotide RNA transcript. It is a transcript of the gene named F-box/kelch-repeat protein At5g15710 pseudogene, with no coding region annotated. The record is from RefSeq and is a predicted model, not a curated record. Lineage: Eukaryota; Viridiplantae; Streptophyta; Magnoliopsida; Arecales; Arecaceae.